This 2823-nucleotide ribosomal RNA is filed under the name Salmonella enterica subsp. enterica serovar Enteritidis. RNAcentral's name for it is "partial 23S ribosomal RNA". It matches the Rfam family "Bacterial large subunit ribosomal RNA". Lineage: Bacteria; Pseudomonadati; Pseudomonadota; Gammaproteobacteria; Enterobacterales; Enterobacteriaceae. The record is from RNAcentral.
GGGUUGUGAGGUUAAGCGACUAAGCGUACACGGUGGAUGCCCUGGCAGUCAGAGGCGAUGAAGGGCGUACUAAUCUGCGAUAAGCGCCGGUAAGGUGAUAUGAACCGUUAUAACCGGCGAUACCCGAAUGGGGAAACCCAGUGUGAUUCGUCACACUAUCAUUAACUGAAUCCAUAGGUUAAUGAGGCGAACCGGGGGAACUGAAACAUCUAAGUACCCCGAGGAAAAGAAAUCAACCGAGAUUCCCCCAGUAGCGGCGAGCGAACGGGGAGGAGCCCAGAGCCUGAAUCAGCAUGUGUGUUAGUGGAAGCGUCUGGAAAGGCGCGCGAUACAGGGUGACAGCCCCGUACACAAAAGCGCAUGUGCUGUGAGCUCGAUGAGUAGGGCGGGACACGUGGUAUCCUGUCUGAAUAUGGGGGGACCAUCCUCCAAGGCUAAAUACUCCUGACUGACCGAUAGUGAACCAGUACCGUGAGGGAAAGGCGAAAAGAACCCCGGCGAGGGGAGUGAAAAAGAACCUGAAACCGUGUACGUACAAGCAGUGGGAGCACCCUUUGGGUGUGACUGCGUACCUUUUGUAUAAUGGGUCAGCGACUUAUAUUCUGUAGCAAGGUUAACCGAAUAGGGGAGCCGGAGGGAAACCGAGUCUUAAUUGGGCGUUAAGUUGCAGGGUAUAGACCCGAAACCCGGUGAUCUAGCCAUGGGCAGGUUGAAGGUUGGGUAACACUAACUGGAGGACCGAACCGACUAAUGUUGAAAAAUUAGCGGAUGACCUGUGGCUGGGGGUGAAAGGCCAAUCAAACCGGGAGAUAGCUGGUUCUCCCCGAAAGCUAUUUAGGUAGCGCCUCGUGAAUUCAUCUCCGGGGGUAGAGCACUGUUUCGGCUAGGGGGCCAUCCCGGCUUACCAACCCGAUGCAAACUGCGAAUACCGGAGAAUGUUAUCACGGGAGACACACGGCGGGUGCUAACGUCCGUCGUGAAGAGGGAAACAACCCAGACCGCCAGCUAAGGUCCCAAAGUCAUGGUUAAGUGGGAAACGAUGUGGGAAGGCCCAGACAGCCAGGAUGUUGGCUUAGAAGCAGCCAUCAUUUAAAGAAAGCGUAAUAGCUCACUGGUCGAGUCGGCCUGCGCGGAAGAUGUAACGGGGCUAAACCAUGCACCGAAGCUGCGGCAGCGACACUGUGUGUUGUUGGGUAGGGGAGCGUUCUGUAAGCCUGCGAAGGUGGCCUGUGAGGGUUGCUGGAGGUAUCAGAAGUGCGAAUGCUGACAUAAGUAACGAUAAAGCGGGUGAAAAGCCCGCUCGCCGGAAGACCAAGGGUUCCUGUCCAACGUUAAUCGGGGCAGGGUGAGUCGACCCCUAAGGCGAGGCCGAAAGGCGUAGUCGAUGGGAAACGGGUUAAUAUUCCCGUACUUGGUGUUACUGCGAAGGGGGGACGGAGAAGGCUAUGUUGGCCGGGCGACGGUUGUCCCGGUUUAAGCGUGUAGGUGUGUGUUCCAGGUAAAUCCGGUUCACUUUAACACUGAGGCGUGACGACGAGGCACUACGGUGCUGAAGCAACAAAUGCCCUGCUUCCAGGAAAAGCCUCUAAGCAUCAGGUAACAUCAAAUCGUACCCCAAACCGACACAGGUGGUCAGGUAGAGAAUACCAAGGCGCUUGAGAGAACUCGGGUGAAGGAACUAGGCAAAAUGGUGCCGUAACUUCGGGAGAAGGCACGCUGACACGUAGGUGAAGUGAUUUACUCAUGGAGCUGAAGUCAGUCGAAGAUACCAGCUGGCUGCAACUGUUUAUUAAAAACACAGCACUGUGCAAACACGAAAGUGGACGUAUACGGUGUGACGCCUGCCCGGUGCCGGAAGGUUAAUUGAUGGGGUCAGCGCAAGCGAAGCUCCUGAUCGAAGCCCCGGUAAACGGCGGCCGUAACUAUAACGGUCCUAAGGUAGCGAAAUUCCUUGUCGGGUAAGUUCCGACCUGCACGAAUGGCGUAAUGAUGGCCAGGCUGUCUCCACCCGAGACUCAGUGAAAUUGAACUCGCUGUGAAGAUGCAGUGUACCCGCGGCAAGACGGAAAGACCCCGUGAACCUUUACUAUAGCUUGACACUGAACAUUGAGCCUUGAUGUGUAGGAUAGGUGGGAGGCUUUGAAGUGUGGACGCCAGUCUGCAUGGAGCCGACCUUGAAAUACCACCCUUUAAUGUUUGAUGUUCUAACGUGGACCCGUUACCCGGGUUGCGGACAGUGUCUGGUGGGUAGUUUGACUGGGGCGGUCUCCUCCUAAAGAGUAACGGAGGAGCACGAAGGUUGGCUAAUCCUGGUCGGACAUCAGGAGGUUAGUGCAAUGGCAUAAGCCAGCUUGACUGCGAGCGUGACGGCGCGAGCAGGUGCGAAAGCAGGUCAUAGUGAUCCGGUGGUUCUGAAUGGAAGGGCCAUCGCUCAACGGAUAAAAGGUACUCCGGGGAUAACAGGCUGAUACCGCCCAAGAGUUCAUAUCGACGGCGGUGUUUGGCACCUCGAUGUCGGCUCAUCACAUCCUGGGGCUGAAGUAGGUCCCAAGGGUAUGGCUGUUCGCCAUUUAAAGUGGUACGCGAGCUGGGUUUAGAACGUCGUGAGACAGUUCGGUCCCUAUCUGCCGUGGGCGCUGGAGAACUGAGGGGGGCUGCUCCUAGUACGAGAGGACCGGAGUGGACGCAUCACUGGUGUUCGGGUUGUCAUGCCAAUGGCACUGCCCGGUAGCUAAAUGCGGAAGAGAUAAGUGCUGAAAGCAUCUAAGCACGAAACUUGCCCCGAGAUGAGUUCUCCCUGAGACUUAAAGUCUCCUGAAGGAA